UACGGAGGGCGCAAGCGUUGUUCGGAAUCACUGGGCGUAAAGGGCGCGCAGGCGGUUUGGUAAGUCAGAUGUGAAAGCCCACGGCUCAACCGUGGAAGUGCAUUUGAAACUGCCAGACUUGAGUACCAGAGGGGAAAGUGGAAUUCCCGGUGUAGAGGUGAAAUUCGUAGAUAUCGGGAGGAAUACCGGUGGCGAAGGCGACUUUCUGGCUGGAUACUGACGCUGAGGCGCGAAAGCGUGGGGAGCAAACAGGAUUAGAAACCCUAGUAGUCC
RNAcentral lists this ribosomal RNA (273 nucleotides) under uncultured bacterium. RNAcentral's name for it is "partial 16S ribosomal RNA". It matches the Rfam family "Bacterial small subunit ribosomal RNA", at positions 524 to 796 of the family's 1533-position model. The record is from RNAcentral.